GAGUUUGAUCCUGGCUCAGGAUGAACGCUAGCGACAGGCCUAACACAUGCAAGUCGAGGGGUAACAGAUGAAGAGCUUGCUCAGAUUGCUGACGACCGGCGCACGGGUGAGUAACACGUAUGCAACCUACCUUUUACAGAGGGAUAGCCCAGAGAAAUUUGGAUUAAUACCUCAUAAUAUUUUUAACUCGCAUGAGUUUUAAAUUAAAACUUCGGUGGUAAAAGAUGGGCAUGCGUUCUAUUAGUUUGUUGGUGAGGUAACGGCUUACCAAGACUACGAUAGAUAGGGGUUCUGAGAGGAUAGUCCCCCACACUGGUACUGAGACACGGACCAGACUCCUACGGGAGGCAGCAGUGAGGAAUAUUGGUCAAUGGUCGAAAGACUGAACCAGCCAUGUCGCGUGAAGGAUGACGGCCCUAUGGGUUGUAAACUUCUUUUGUAUGGGAAGAAAAGCAGUUACGUGUAACUGUCUGCCGGUACCAUACGAAUAAGGAUCGGCUAACUCCGUGCCAGCAGCCGCGGUAAUACGGAGGAUCCAAGCGUUAUCCGGAUUUAUUGGGUUUAAAGGGUGCGUAGGCGGCUCUAUAAGUCAGUAGUGAAAUCUCGAAGCUCAACUUCGAACGUGCUAUUGAAACUGUAGAGCUUGAGUACAGACGAGGCAGGCGGAAUGUGUUGUGUAGCGGUGAAAUGCUUAGAUAUAACACAGAACACCGAUAGCGAAGGCAGCUUGCCAGACUGUAACUGACGCUGAGGCACGAAAGCGUGGGGAGCGAACAGGAUUAGAUACCCUGGUAGUCCACGCCGUAAACGAUGAUUACUGGUUGUAGGCGAUACAUUGUCUGUGACUGAGCGAAAGUAUUAAGUAAUCCACCUGGGGAGUACGUCGGCAACGAUGAAACUCAAAGGAAUUGACGG
This 915-nucleotide ribosomal RNA is filed under the name uncultured bacterium. RNAcentral describes it as "bacterial SSU rRNA". It matches the Rfam family "Bacterial small subunit ribosomal RNA", at positions 9 to 916 of the family's 1533-position model. The record is from RNAcentral.